RNAcentral lists this ribosomal RNA (253 nucleotides) under uncultured bacterium. RNAcentral's name for it is "partial 16S ribosomal RNA". It matches the Rfam family "Bacterial small subunit ribosomal RNA", at positions 524 to 776 of the family's 1533-position model. The record is from RNAcentral.
UACGUAGGUGGCAAGCGUUGUUCGGAAUUAUUGGGCGUAAAGGGCGCGUAGGCGGGUCAUCAAGUCCGGGGUGAAAUCCCACGGCCCAACCGUGGAAGUGCCUUGGAUACUGGGGACCUCGAGGGGGAUAGGGGCGUGCGGAACUCAGGGUGGAGCGGUGAAAUGCGUAGAUAUCCUGAGGAACACCGGUGGCGAAAGCGGCGCGCUGGAUCCCUUCUGACGCUGAGGCGCGAAAGCCAGGGGAGCAAACGGG